Molecule: long non-coding RNA, 3417 nt
Filed under: Homo sapiens (human)
Lineage: Eukaryota; Metazoa; Chordata; Mammalia; Primates; Hominidae
Description: lncAB393.1
Rfam family: Metazoan signal recognition particle RNA (bases 2129-2245)
Source: RNAcentral
GGAAGCUCUCCUAGUCUCUCACACGCACGAUGGCGGUGGGGCAAGGCCGUCUCCCGGCAGCAUCGUUUUCAUGACAGCAAAAAGGCUGGACCCACCCAUGUGGGACAAUCCACAGUGCAGCCCCACAGCCUCGCAAGGAGCGAGGACCCCCGUGCACCACCAUGGAGAGCCCACCGCCGACGUGGUCACUUGCCAGCACGUGCCUGGCCAUGUGUCUAUGGAAACGAGGAGGAGGAGAGGAGAAAAAAGACAAAGAAGCAUGCCCAAGAGCUGCCCAAGAAGGGCUGGCAUGGAAGCAGGACCAAUGGAGACCUCUGGAGAUAUGAACUGGGGGCUGAAGCCAUCAGGAGCCUUGAUCCAUGGACCCUUUGACAAAUAACCAGCAAGCUUCCUGGUGGCCUUAAGGUCAGAUGAGAUUCACAGUCAGCCACUCGACAGACAGUCCUACAGGGAGAAGGUGCCGCCGGUGGUGAGACACACCUGGGAUUCUCACUGACUCAGGACUAAGGAGUCCCCACGUGGGGAAAGCCUUCCGAUGGUCACUUUUCUGCAAAAGCAGUCACACCUCACAACACGCCUUUGCUCCAGCGACGGCGACCAUGGAACUCGUAGGCAUGUGGGGCCAUCAUGUUCGAUGGUGCUGACUUGUGGAAACAUUUCAAUCUCCAUCUUCCAGACAGAACCAAGAUGCUCAUUUCAGAGAAUGGAGCUAAUACAUUAAAUGCAGGUUGCUAGGUAAUUUUUCACUAGGUAAUUUUAAUUCUCAAAAAAACUUAAGUAUCAGCUGGGCAUGGUGGCUCAUGCCUGUAAUCCCAGCACUUUGGAAGGCCGAGGCGGGUGGGUCACCUGAGGUCAGGAGUUCAAGACCAGCCUGGCCAAGAGGGUGAAACUCCAUCUCUACUAAAAAUACAAAAAUACAAAAAUUAGCCGGGCAUGGUGGCAGGAGCCUGUAAUCCCAGCUACUUGCGAGGCUGAGGCAGGAGAAUCACUUGAACCCGGGAGGUAGAGGUUGCAGUGAGCCAAGAUCGUGACACUGCACUCUAGCCCGGGGAACAAGAGCAAGACUCCGUCUCAAAAAAAAAAACAACUUAGUAUCUAAAAGCACAACUAUGAAACGACCAGCUCAACGUCUGAAAAAUCACGAGCCAUCUGCAAAUUGCGUAACUGACAACGCAAGCACUCUCACACACAGGCCCUGUCUGCGCCCAGGGUGGCUCAACAGCAGAAAUAUCUGACCCCCAGUGGUCCCAUCUGUUAACAAAGGCUCCAAAAAUCUACUUCUUGUGUGCUAGGGGUUCUGUCAAGGACUUGGGAUGUCCUGAUCUGAUCCUCCAUCUCUGUCACGGCCUCUGUGUCACACAGUUCCCUGGGACCCCCAUCCUCCUCCGGGGGUGCUGCAGGGCACUGAGCUGGUGGGCACCGGAGGCCACCAGAGGAGCUCACAGUCCCACCACCCCCAACCCUAGCCCUCUGGGUGCAGGGCGGCUCCUGUCUCCUGUGUUACCCUCUUCCCAUGCAUGUCCCCUCCUGGUUCCCCUUCUUUCAGUCCCAGCCUGAAACCCACCAUGUAGCUGCUAAGCGUGCUCUCCAGACAAGGCCAGCUCCAUCCUUCCCCGCUGGCCCGCACGGAUUUUGAGGACUUGGCUUUCAGUGUCAGCUCCUAGUUCCAAUUUCGGGUAUACUUGGCCCUCAAGGAGCUCGGAGCUGCACCACAGGCCCUGUCUGACCUCAGGGUCUCCCCACAUUCUAAACAAGCUCCUUCCCCCAAGCAGACCCCCAUAUACCUCAACUAACCAGAAGCUACCACCUAGACCCACAGGUGAGCCAGGAGCCGGCAGUCAGCAAAUCACAGCAAAUCAAGCCGGUAACCAGAACUGCUUUUCUCCAAAGUGGGAGAGAAAGCAACUUAGAGGCGUUCAGGCCAGGACUCAUCCUAGACAAGGUCUUACAGCUUGCUCAAUUAGAAUCCUCUGGCAACAAACACCGAGGUGCAAAUAACCAGUCCAUCCACCCCUCCCUCCCGCUCUCCAUCUCACAGACACUCCCUCACUCCACUUACCAGAGCAGCAAGACACCCAAACAUCUCCCUAGAAUUCUCAUUAAAUUUUCACCAAAAAAACGCCACCCAGCCAGGUGUGGUGGCUCACACCUGUAAUCCUAUCCCUUUGGGAGGCUGAGGCGGGAGGAUCACUUGAGGCCAGGAGUUUGAGACCAGCCUGGCCAACAUGGAGAAACCCUGUCUCUACUAAAAAUAAAAGAAUUAGCUGGGCAUGGUGGUAUGCACCUGAAAUUCCAGCUACUCCGGAAGCUGAGGCAUAAGAAUCACUUGAACCCAGGAGGUGGAGGUUGCAGUGAGCUGGGAUUGUGCCACUGCACUCCAGCCUGGGCGACACAGCAAGACUCUGUCUCAAAAACAAAACAAAACAAAAGGCCGCCAAUGCCAAAACCUAAUGGACUAAAAAAAUGCCACCUUGUACAGUGCUCUAAAGGCAAGUUCUACAAGCAGAUAAUGGUAAAAACAAAACAAAACAAAACCAACGUGUCACCUAAACUUGCCCCCAGAAGGGUAACUUGCAAAUCAAACUGUACUUGUUUUUGUCCUAAUUAAAACCAUGCCAGAGGCCGGGCGUGGUAGCUCAUGCCUGUAAUCCCAGCACUUUGGGAGGCCGAAGCGGGCAGAUCACGAGGUCAGGAGAUCGAGACCAUCCUGGCUAACACGGUGAAACCCCGUCUCUACUAAAAAUACAAAAAAUUAGCCGGGCGUGGUGGCGGGUGCCUGUGGUCCCAGCUACUCGGGAGGCUGAGGCGGGAGAAUGGUGUGAACCCAGGAGGCGGAGCUUGCAGUGAGCCGGGAUCGCGCCACUGCACUCCAGCCUGGGCGACAGAGCGAGACUCCGUCUCAAAAAAUAAAUAAAUAAAUAGAUAGAUAGAUAAAUGAAACCAGGCCAGAAAAUCACCUGAAACUUGAGCAAGAGAGAGAGAAGGAGAGGUAACUACCACCCAAAGAAGUUCCUCUGGAUCUAAAGAAGAUUCCAACUCACCACAUCAUCUCAUCCCCAUACGCCUUUGGGGGCUUCAUAGCAUUUUCUCCUUGGGGGAACCUAACCUCCUAAACAUCCAACUUAAACAAACCCUCUUUAAAACAGCCUUGCUUAGCAGUAUGCCUCCUGCCAGGAGGGACACAGGGCACUGAGCAGGAGCUGGUCUGUGUGCCACCUCCAGGGCCUACACCUGGCACCUGCAAGUCUCCAGCAGCCAAGGAAACCUCUCGCUCCUGCUGAGCCACUUUGCAGCUCUCCAAAGGACCCAAAGGUCUGGCCGCCGAUUCCCAGGGGAGGGCAGGACUUAUCGAAAGCAGGCGUGGAGACCUGGUUUAACCAGUCCAGCAGGUUGACAGAUGGAUGGACGCUGAGAAGG